CUCUUAUCAAGAGAGGUGGAGGGAAAGGGCCCUGUGAAACCCGGCAACCUGCAGUGAAAUGCGUGGUGCCAAUUCCUGCAACAUAUGGUUGCAAGAUAAGAG
This 102-nucleotide non-coding RNA is filed under the name Proteiniclasticum ruminis. RNAcentral describes it as "SAM-I sequence". It matches the Rfam family "SAM riboswitch aptamer (S box leader)". From Rfam's summary of the family: The SAM riboswitch is found upstream of a number of genes which code for proteins involved in methionine or cysteine biosynthesis in Gram-positive bacteria. The SAM riboswitch acts at the level of transcription termination control. The predicted structure consists of a complex stem-loop region followed by a single stem loop terminator region. The record is from Rfam by way of RNAcentral. Lineage: Bacteria; Bacillati; Bacillota; Clostridia; Eubacteriales; Clostridiaceae.